CUACGGAGGGUGCAAGCGUUACUCGGAAUCACUGGGCGUAAAGCGCGCGCAGGCGGCUAUUUAAGUUGGAUGUGAAAGCCUACGGCUCAACCGUAGAACUGCAUCCAAAACUAUUUAGCUAGAGUGUGGGAGAGGAAGAUGGAAUUAGUUGUGUAGGGGUAAAAUCCGUAGAGAUAACUAGGAAUACCAAAAGCGAAGGCAAUCUUCUGGAACACUACUGACGCUGAGGCGCGAAAGCGUGGGAAGCAAACAGGAUUAGAAACCCUAGUAGUCC
RNAcentral lists this ribosomal RNA (274 nucleotides) under uncultured bacterium. Its description in RNAcentral is "partial 16S ribosomal RNA". It matches the Rfam family "Bacterial small subunit ribosomal RNA", at positions 523 to 796 of the family's 1533-position model. The record is from RNAcentral.